UACGGGGGGGGCAAGCGUUGUUCGGAAUCACUGGGCGUAAAGCGCACGUAGGCGGCUUUCUAAGUCAGGGGUGAAAUCCUGGAGCUCAACUCCAGAACUGCCUUUGAUACUGGAGAGCUUGAGUCCGGGAGAGGUGAGUGGAACUCCGAGUGUAGAGGUGAAAUUCGUAGAUAUUCGGAAGAACACCAGUGGCGAAGGCGGCUCACUGGCCCGGUACUGACGCUGAGGUGCGAAAGCGUGGGGAGCAAACAGG
This 253-nucleotide ribosomal RNA is filed under the name uncultured bacterium. RNAcentral describes it as "partial 16S ribosomal RNA". It matches the Rfam family "Bacterial small subunit ribosomal RNA", at positions 524 to 776 of the family's 1533-position model. The record is from RNAcentral.